This 414-nucleotide ribosomal RNA is filed under the name uncultured prokaryote. Its description in RNAcentral is "bacterial SSU rRNA". It matches the Rfam family "Bacterial small subunit ribosomal RNA", at positions 505 to 918 of the family's 1533-position model. The record is from RNAcentral.
GUGUCAGCCGCCGCGGUAACACGUAUGGGGCGAGCGUUGUUCGGAAUUACUGGGCAUAAAGGGCGUGUAGGCGGUUCGGUAAGCCCGGCGUGAAAGGUAUCGGCUCAACCGAUAGACGGCGCUGGGAACUGCGGGACUGGAGUUCUGGAGGGGGAGCUGGAAUUCCUGGUGUAGGGGUGAAAUCUGUAGAGAUCAGGAAGAACACCGGUGGCGAAGGCGGGCUCCUGGCCAGUGACUGACGCUGAGGCGCGAAAGCGUGGGGAGCAAACAGGAUUAGAUACCCUGGUAGUCCACGCUGUAAACGAUGUGCACUAGGUGUUGGUGCCAUACGGGCAUCGGUGCCGUAGCUAAGGCGAUAAGUGCACCGCCUGGGGAGUAUGCUCGCAAGGGUGAAACUUAAAUGAAUUGACGGGG